AGGAUAAAGAGCAGAAAGACAAGAAGGAGAAAAAGAACAAGGAAGAGAAAGGCAAGAGCAAAGGGGAAUCAGAAGAAGAAACCGAGGAAGAGAAGGAUGAUGAAAAAGGGAAAAACAAGGAAUCGGAUGAAGAAGACGAGAGACAGACAGAGGAAGAGGAGAAUGAUGAAAAAGGGGUGAAGAAGGAUAAGGAGAAGAAAAACAAGGAAAAGAAAGAGAAAAAGGACAACGAAAAGAAAGAUAAGAGCAAAGAGGAAACGGAGGAAGAGAAGGAUGAUGAAAAAGGAGAGAAGAAGGAUAAAGAGAAGAAAUGCAAGAAGAAUAAGAAAGAGAAAAAGGAUAAAGAAACGAAAGACAAGAGCAAAGAGGUGUCGGAUGAAGAGGAAGAGAAAGAUGACGAAGAAGGGGAGAAGAAGGAUAAAAAAAAGAAACACAAUAAGGAUAAGAAAGAAACAAAGGAUAAAGAAAAGAAAUACAAGAGCAAAGAGGAGUCAGAAGAAGAAGAUAAGAAAGAAACGGAGGAAGAGAAGGAUGAUGAUGAAGAGGGUCAGAAGAAGGAAAAAGAGAAGAAAAACAAGAAGGAUAAAAAAGAGAAAAAGGAUAAAGAAAAGAAAGUCAAGAGCAAAGAGGAGUCAGAUGAAGAAGACAAGCAAGACAAGGUGAAUGAGGUUGAAGUCGCCACAAGAGAGAUAAAA
Molecule: long non-coding RNA, 695 nt
Filed under: Nicotiana tabacum (common tobacco)
Lineage: Eukaryota; Viridiplantae; Streptophyta; Magnoliopsida; Solanales; Solanaceae
Description: long non-coding RNA (NTAB_LNC007280)
Source: RNAcentral